RNAcentral lists this ribosomal RNA (780 nucleotides) under uncultured Neocallimastigales. RNAcentral describes it as "partial large subunit ribosomal RNA". It matches the Rfam family "Eukaryotic large subunit ribosomal RNA", at positions 22 to 640 of the family's 3401-position model. The record is from RNAcentral. Lineage: Eukaryota; Fungi; Neocallimastigomycota; Neocallimastigomycetes; Neocallimastigales.
AUAUCAGUCAUGCAUAGCAUAUCAAUAAGCGGAGGAAAAGAAACUAACAAGGAUUCCCUUAGUAACGGCGAGUGAAGCGGGAAGAGCUCAAAUUUGAAAUCUUCAAGGUUCUACCUUGACGAAUUGUAGUUUAUAGAAGUGUUUUCUGUUAGUAGAGUGGCAAAAGUUCUUUGGAAUAGGACAUCAUAGAGGGUGAGAAUCCCGUAUUUGGUCAUUCUUUCUAGCUUUGUGAUACACUUUCAACGAGUCGGAUUGUUUGGGAAUGCAGUCCAAAAUGGGUGGUAAAUUUCAUCUAAAGCUAAAUAUUGGCGAGAGACCGAUAGCGAACAAGUACCGUGAGGGAAAGAUGAAAAGAACUUUGAAAAGAGAGUUAAACAGUAGCGUGAAAUUGUCAAAAGGGAAGCGUUUGACACCAGUGUUGUUUAGUUGAAAAUCAAUUAAAUAUUUUUCGAUUUUAAGUAGUAUUGACCUUAUCAGCUUGCUGCUUUUUUUCUCGGAAAUUAUUUAAUGCACUUUUCAGUUAACAAGUCAACAUCAAUUUCUUUUGUUGUAAAAGGGUAAGAGGAAGGUGGCUUGCGCUUCGGCUCAAGUGUUUAUAGCCUUUUACCCUCUGCAAUCGGAGAGAUUGAGGAUCUGCAGCGUAGGAUCCUUCGGGGUUAGAUACGUUUGUGCUAAGCUAUAGCCUUGUAUAGACAACUUGUUGACUAUACUCAGUCAUGUAGCUUACUCGCUUAUGUCUAUUUUACCUACGCUUAGGAUGUUGAUGUGAUACUGCGAGCA